Molecule: long non-coding RNA, 2689 nt
Organism: Gorilla gorilla gorilla (western lowland gorilla)
Lineage: Eukaryota; Metazoa; Chordata; Mammalia; Primates; Hominidae
Exons: 12
Source: RefSeq, a predicted model, not a curated record
AGGGCCGUGCCGGCCAGAGCCCAGCGUGCGCGGCCCUGCGUGCGUGCACACGCAUAUGUGUCCAGGUGCCUACGCAGGUGCCUGACCCUGGGCAAGUCGCUCCGUCAUGCGGACCUCAGUUUUCUCCUCUGUCCGACGAAGGAGAGAAACUGAGUCUGAGGGAUGUCAACAUGCCAAGUCCAUGAAAUAUUAGUGGGCUGGAAUUCUAGCUGCCUGAAAGAAGACAUUCCUCACAAAAGACCUCACAAUCAUAUCCAUGGAAUUAUAGCACUGGGCUCUCCAGAUGGUGCUACAGGAAGACCUCCAGAAAUUUGACAAGCCCUACCACAGAGACACACAGGAACGGAACUCAGAAUCACAAACAAAGAAACUUUGAUCCAAGAAAGAAAAUGAUCUUUAAAAAGACCCUCGUUUCAUGCUGGCCAAUGCUGAGAAAAUCUGCUCUGGAGGAUAUUUGGAGACACUGAUUAAAAGAUGGUUGUCCCAGUGGAGGGGGAUUCUUCGUGUUACAUAGAUAGCAAGCACGAUGCAAAAGUGUUGAAGCAGGAGUGUAAAGAAUAAUUAAAACACCUGCCCAAGACCCAAGCAAGGAUAGGAUUUCCCAGACAUUCCCGAGGGAAAAAAUGCCAUGUCCUUUCCUUCUGGUGUCACAUCAGAAUCUGAAGGCUGCUAGAGAAGGGAGAGAAACUUGAAAGUGAGUCCCAUGCUGAUUGUUGUUGAAAUACCUGGAAAGAAACUGGCAAAGACUAUCCAAGGGAUGCUAAGACAUGUCCGAACUUACAAAACAGUAGAACCUGAAUAGGAAUUUGAAGUUGUCUAUACUCUCCUCAGCCACACCCUGCCAUUUUACAGAUUGUCUUCUCUGGGGAAGUUAGCUGUCAUGUUGUGAGGAUACUCAAGCAGUUUAUAAAGUGGUUCAUGUUGCAAGGAAUGGAGGCCUCCUGCCAACAGCCAUGUAAAGGAGCCAUCUAGGAAACAGAUUCUCCAGCCCCAGUCAGACCUUCAGAUGAUUACAGCCCCUACCAACCUUCUGACUGCAGUGGAAGGAAAGUUCCGGAACCAGAACCACCCAGGUUAAUGUGGGUAAGUCUCAUCCAAUCCUUUGAAGGCCUGAAGAACAAAGAGUGAGGUUUCCGGAAGAAGAAAAUUUUACCUCAAGCCUGCAAUGUAGAAAUUCUGCUUGAGUUUCCUGCCUGCUGGCCUGCCCUGUGGAAUUCGGAGUCAAGAAGGAGUCGUGUAAGCAUUAACUGAGAUAGUAUAUGAAGAGUGCUUUUGCACCGAGUGAACCUUCAAUCAACUGUACUAGUUUGUAUGCCUGGAAGAGCUGCUAUAUGGGAUCAGAAAGAAAAAUAAGGUGCAUACCCCAGAAAAAAAUACUUGCAUAUGAGUACUAGGAGAUGCAUAACAAUGUUCACGGCAGCAGUAUUCAUGGCAGUGAAAAAUGAAAAGAACUUAAAUGCCCAUUGAUAAAAACGUCUACUUAUUUGUGUCAUCUUUGCACAGUGGAAUUGUGCGAGUGGAAAUGAUUGAUCUACAGCUAGGAGAAGCAGCAGAGCUCGAUCUCAAAAACAUAAUGUUGUGUGGAAAAAGCUAACCUCAGAACACUUUGCGGCUCUAUCUUAGCAAACCAGGAGAGAAAUUCUCCUGAUGGCCUUGAAGAAGCAAACAGCCACCUGGUUAAGCCCCUGUGGAUAGUGCCAAGUGGCAGGAAAGUGGGAGCCGCCUCUAGGACCUGAGGAUUAAAGUCAGUAAGAGCUGGGACCUCACUCAUGCAGACUCGAGGACAUGAAUUCGACCAACAACUUGAAUGAGCUUGGAAGUGGAUUCUUCCCUAGUCCAGUCUUCAGAAAUUAAGAAUGUUCCCAAAGAAUGAUGGAGACAUUUCAAAAGGAUACAGAAGCCAGAUUGUGGGCGCUUCUACUGGCCAACUCUGGGACAUCGUAGACAUCAAAAUAAAUUUGUAAUAAUAAAGGAUCAUAGCCUAUUAGUUAAAUCAGAUUUUUCUGAUUUAACUAAAUGAGUAGGAGGAAAAGAAAGCUCUUCCUUAUAUUAGAAAGUCAAUUAAUAAAUGCAGAAAGGAAUGAAAAAAUUAGAAAAGCCACCAUUUGGCAACCAUGGCAGGCAGAAUGGGGAGUAUGCCUCCAGACAGUAAUUCCUUUCAAACUGGUUUAUAGGAACUCACUGAGCUUGCUGAUCGACCUCUGAGAGGCAAAGUUUCUGAAUUUUGAAGUACUGAUUAUAUAAACUUAGACAGAGACAUGCUUCAUUAUUUAAUAGGACUGUGUCAAAAGCCUACUAUUAGGAUGAUGUGUUGGGUGUGGAACAGGGUCUCUUCCUGCCAGGAACACUGGUGAUUUCAUUCCGUGUUCAGGCUGAUCUUUGAAGUUGAAGACAAGCAGAAGAAUCCUUCUAAAAUUUAGCCAUGCCCAUAGGCUGGGAGGGACACUGCUCCAUUCAGAGGCAACAAAGCACAUUACUGUAUCUCCUAUAGAGCUUUGAGCAGUCCAGUGCACAUGGAGAAACUUAAUAAAUGUUUGUUGAAUUAAUGAAUGAACAAAUCAAUGGACCAAGUCAGGGAUAAGUCUUACAUUUGUCAUCUAGGUGAUUAAGAAAGGAAACAGUAUCUGUUUCAAGAGGAUUACAAUCUAACUUUACUCCAAUAGUAAAAUUUACUCUUUUGGAAUCUGAA